GGCGGGGGAAUAUUACUAACAUAACAGUCAGAAGCACCAGGCUACUAAAGGAUCGCAAUAAUGCCUUACGUCCUCAUCAGCACUCAGAUCCGACUGAUAUCAAUAAGCCUGGAACUAAAAAUGAGAACUGGUGACCAUGAAACAACUAAGAACAUGACUUGCCAAGCCUUGUUUGACAGCAGCUUUCAAACAUUUGACCUCUAUCACCUAGAAAAAAAUCUGUCAUCCUUACCUGGUCUGGCCUGCGUGUGAGUCAAAAGCACAAAGUGUGAUUGACUCUUAACUGCCCUUUGAAAUUGGCCUUGCAAGCUACUCAAUUUAAUCAAACUGCUACACAAAAUGCAAAUAGGAAUAAAACCAAAUGGAUCAUCCAGUAUUAAUGUAGAUGCUGGAAACAACAAUUGCAAGACAUACUCAAACUUCCUUAUUAACAGCUGAGGGCUUGUGACAAAAUUGGAAGAACUGUCCCACAUAUCAGUCAGGCAACAACCUGACAUAGUCGUACUCACUGAUUCAUGACUUACAGACAAUGAUCCAGACAACAUCAUCUUCAUUCCUCUGUUCGUCCUAUCCCACCAGGAUAGACACACACCAGAGAUGGCAGCACAGGGGAAUUCAGCAAGAGUAUAUUGCCCUGAGAGUCCUCAACCUGACUCCAGUCCCUAUGAAGUUUCAUGGCAUCAGGUCAAGCACCGGAAUCAAUAACAAUUAACAUCUACUGCCCUUAACUGGUGAAUCAGUGUUCCUCCAUGUUGAACAUCCUUGGAAGAAGCUCUGAGGGCAAGAGGAUGGAAUGUAUUCUGGUUAGAGGAACUUCAACACCCAUCAUCAAGAGUGGCUUGGUCACACCUUUGUUGGCCAAGCUGGUGAAGUUCUGAAGGAGAUAUCUGCCAGACUUGCACUGUGGCAAGUCAUGAGAAAACCAACAAGAGGAAACUGGGCCCACAAUUGUGGGGGACGAGCACUCGGAUGAGGAGCUUAUGAGAUACCUUGGAGCUGAGAAAACUAUUGCAUUUGGAAGUAACUU
Molecule: RNA transcript, 1027 nt
Organism: Rhincodon typus (whale shark)
Lineage: Eukaryota; Metazoa; Chordata; Chondrichthyes; Orectolobiformes; Rhincodontidae
Exons: 3
Source: RefSeq, a predicted model, not a curated record